CGACUCCAUGAAGCUGGAUUCGCUAGUAAUCGCGCAUCAGCCACGGCGCGGUGAAUACGUUCCCGGGCCUUGUACACACCGCCCGUCAAGCCAUGGAAGCCGGGGGUGCCUGAAGUGCGCUGCCGCAAGGAGCGCCCUAGGGUAAAACCGGUGACUGGGGCUAAGUCGUAACAAGGUAAC
Molecule: ribosomal RNA, 180 nt
Filed under: uncultured bacterium
Lineage: Bacteria
Description: partial 16S ribosomal RNA
Rfam family: Bacterial small subunit ribosomal RNA
Source: RNAcentral